UUAUUUAUUAUUAUUAUUAUUAUUAUUAUUAUUAUUAUUCCUCAGGUAUUUGCUUCUUUUUUGGGUUACCUUUGUAUUAUGAGAUUCUGAGACCUGCAGAUCUAGGAUGGUGUAAGAGGGCUUUAUGUUUGAGCACUGAUGCUAUAAUAAAGAACUAUUACCUAGUUUCCAAGCAUAUUUUGCUCACGAACUUCUAUUGGGUAAAUAUUGAAAAAAAAUAAACAAGUCAUUCAAGUCAAUCGGAGGUCAAAUAUGAUAGAAAAGAAGCGUUAAAGUUCACAUGGACGUCGUGGGAGGCCACCUGCGCACAAGGAUGACCAAAAUGGACCAACAAGUGGCAUCUGUGCCCAAGGUGUGUCGUGUAUGCCAUGGAUCUACUCAAGCAGAUAAAGAGUACGACGACAUUUUGAUAAUAUCUGGAAAACGUGAAAUUGGGGUCAAAAGGGAGUUUUCAUCUCAUUUCCACCAUUAUUGAACCAUUAUUGUACUUUUCUUGAGCUAAGAAAUGUUGGAGAAACUCUCAAGUGAUGAAUUAGUAUUUUUUAUUGAAUAUUUAUUCAAAUUAAAGCUUGGAUAUUGUAUUCUCUUCACUUUUUAUGGAUCAAUUUGAAGGAAAUCAGGAUAUA
Long non-coding RNA from Capsicum annuum, 626 nucleotides. RefSeq lists it as uncharacterized. The transcript is spliced from 2 exons. The record is from RefSeq and is a predicted model, not a curated record. NCBI's taxonomy places the organism in Eukaryota, Viridiplantae, Streptophyta, Magnoliopsida, Solanales, Solanaceae.